CAUGGGUUGUUGUCGUAACUGAAUCGCGCGUAUCCCAGGGGAUUCGACGUCUCUUCUCCCAAUCCAAUUCGUCCCCCUUCAUAGUAUAUAUAUGCGACCUCAAUCCUUCCCCUCAUGCCAUCGAAGUUUAGUCACCUCACGGGUCGCCACCACCAUCGCCGAUGAGAGGGAGGGAACGAGAGAUCUCUGCCGCAUGCGGAUACUUCGAUUCACUAUCGCCGAGCUGUCGGAGCCUGGCCGAGGAGGUUCACCGGUGGGCAACGAAAGCUUUUGUGGCACGAUUGGGCGUGAAGGACGAUCGUGGCAAGUGGAAUUCCUCAUCGACGACUGGGAAUCGCCAUCGUCCACAGCCAACCAUGGAUGGGAGUCCAUGUUGCAAGGAUACUGGUAAGGAUAUAUUCAAUCGUUUCACGAUCGUCUACACAUUUAUUCGUACCUAGUUAUGAUAGAGACCAGGUACCAAGGCACUGACUGGCCAUUCGUCGGCAUCAGCACCGUCGCGAGCCGUGCAGAUGCCGCUCGGGUGCAUCGUCGGGGAAGGAAGAAGCAAGCAUGUCCGUUAGAUCGAGAACGAACGACCGAAGUUUGAUCUAAUGCAUAGCUGGUUGAUCAUUUAAAUCCGAGACGAAGAUUUUGAGGCGGACGACUGAGAAUCGAUUGGAGGCGUACUGCUUCGCUGAUCUGAUCUAGGUCGUCUGAUCGUGAUCGGAAGGCCUAGGUUGCACACCGGUUUAUAAAAUGUUAGGUCUAAUCUCGACCCUCGAAAUCAGAUUGUGUGUGUCGGCGUUUCGACCCCGGGGGAUCCCUGAACCGACGAGUAAAUUGUCGCUGCGUGUCCCAGCCCAGAUGGGUCGGCGCGAGACGAAACACAAGGGGGGAAAACAGUAAGGGGAAACCGCGACCUUGUGUUGUCCUGCGCCCAGGGCGGAUGCGCUUGCAGUAGGGGGUUACAAGCGUUCGCGAGGGAGAGAGAGAGCGAGAGCCUCGUGCGUCGGCUCGUUCUCCCGCGUGGCCACCUUCUCGUGUGAGGGCCCUGGACCUUCCUUUUAUAGAUGUAAGGAGAGGGUACAGGUGUACAACGGGGAGCAUAGCAAUGUGCUAACGUGUCUAGCGGAGAGGAGCCAGAGCCCUUUGUACAUGCCGACGUGGCUGUUGGAGAGGUGUUGCUGCCCUGUUCAUGUGGUGUCGUGGCCGUCGGAGGAGUGCUUGAGCCCUAUGGAAGCAUAGCUGUCGGGGCUGUCGGAUCCUUGCUGACGUCUCCUUGCUUCCGUAAGGGGCUGAGAACCGCCGUCGUCAUGUAGCACGCGGGGUGCCAUCAUUACUUGUUUUACCGGGGCGAGCCAGAUGGGACGCCGGUCUUGUUCCCCAUAGCCUAAGCUAGCUAGGGGUAGGGUAAUGAUGGCCCCCCUGUGUCGUGGUUGGUCCAAGCCCGAGGUUGGGCGAGGCGGUGACUCCUCCUAAGUCGAGGCUGAGUCCGAGCCCUGGGGUCGGGCGAGGCGGAGACCGUCUUCCGGAGUCGAGGCUGAAUCCGAGCCCUGGGAUCAGGCGAGGCGGAGACCGUCUUCCGGAGUCGAGGCUGAGUCCGAGCCCUGGGGUCGGGCGAGGCGGAGACCGUCUUCCGAGGUCGAGGCUGAGUACAAGCCCUGGGGUCGGGCGAGGCGGAGUCUGUCUUCCGAGGUCGAGGCUGAGUCCGAGCUCUGGGGUCGGGCGAGGCGGAGACCGUCUUCCGAGGCCGAGAUGGGGGUCGAGCCCUGGGGUCGGGCGAGGCGGAGCUUCCUAUGGCGCCCGAGGUUGGACUUAGCUGCUGUCGGCCUCACUCUGGCGAGUGGCACAGCAGUCGAAGCAGGGCAGGCGGCGCUGUUUUCCUGUCAGGUCAGUCAGUGGAGCGGCGAAGUGACUGCGGUCACUGCGGCCUUGUUGACUGAGGAGCGUGCGUCAGGAUAAGGUGUCAGGCGAUCCUUGCAUUGAUUGCUCCUGCGAUACGGUGGGUUGGCAUGGCGAUCUGGCCAAGGUUGCUUCUCCGCGAAGCCUGCCCGAGCUGGGCCUCGGGCGAGUCAAAGGUGUGCCCGUUGCUUGAGGAGACCCUCGGGCGAGGCGUGAAUCUGCCUUGGUCUACUGUUCCUGCCCGAGGCUGGGCUCGGGCGAGACGAGAUCGUGUCCCUUGAGUGGACGGAGCCUUGACCGGAAUCGCGCCCAUCAGGCCUUUGUAGCUUUGUGCUGAUGGGGGUUACCAGCUGAGAUUAGGAGUCUUGGGGGUACCCCUAAUUAUGGUCCCCGACAGUAGCCCCCGAGCCUCGAAGGGAGUGUUAGUACUCGCUUGGAGGCUUUUGUCGCACUUUUUUGCAAGGGGACCGGCCUUUCUCGGUUGCAUUUCGUUCCGGUGGGUGCGCGCGAGUGCACCCGCCGGGUGUAGCCCCCGAGGCCUCGGAGGAGUGGUUUGACUCCUUUGAGGUCUUAAUGCCUUUCGUGAUGCCUCGGCCGGUCUGGUUGUUCCCUCAUGCGAACUGGUCGUUGCCCGGGUGCAUAGUCAGGUUCCAAGUUCUCGGGCUGGUAUGUUCACGCUGUCAACGGUUUGGCCGGAGCCGGGUUUGCGAGAGCAGCCCCCGAGCCUCUGCACAGAGCGAGAGGACGGUCAAGGACUGACUCAGCUUUUAUCAUACGCCCCUUCGUCGCCUUUCCGCAAGAGGAGGGGGGAGAGUGCCAUGUUGCCCUCGGAGGGCGCCGAACAUGGUGUCUCCAGUGAGUUGCUAACGGGUGAUCCGAGUGGACGCCUGUGCCCCGUUCGAUAAGGGUCGGCUAGUGGCCCAGAGGCGCGCUCCAAAAGUACCUGCAGGUAAUUUGCCAGACCCGGUCCCGUUUGAUAGGGUCCGAGGGCUCGAUGCCUCCCUCUGAUGGGAUUCCGUUACAGAAUCGCUCAUGCUGGUCUCGGAAAUGUCCUAGGGUACCUCGGGAGCAUAGCGCGAGCCUCGGCCAUGUAUUGGACGUACCCAGAGUCAUCCCUCGCUCUGCGUGCUCUGAGGCGGCUGUCGAACCCUUCGGGGGCCAGCCUACGAACCCCUGAUCAGUAGUGGGCGCGGAGCCCGAGUGUCCUGAGGCGGCUGUCGAACUCUUCCGAGGGGCCAGCCUUCGGACCCCUGACCAGUAGUGAGCGCGGAGCCCGAGUGCUCUGAGGCGGCUGUCGAACCCUUCCGAGGGGCCAGCCUUCGAACCUCUGAUCAGUAGGGGGGCUCGAGGCCCGCUUCCUUCACGGAGAAGGAUCCCUUUCAUAGUAUCCCCUUUCCCGGUCCCUGUAGCAAGAGAGAGAAAGGGGAAGAGGAAAAGGAUACGAAAUUGAACGACGUGGCGUACCUUUUUUGACGCGGUCAUCAUGGCGGAGGUGAAGCGUCGCCUGCUUCGCCUGCCAAAGGUGUCGCAUGUCCUGCCACAGAGUUAAUGCGACAGGACGAGUGGUUCGCGGGGCAGCCGUUGUGCAUGCGCGAACCAUUCGAGGAACGGGCGUUUCGCCUUCGAGUUUUGAAUUUCACGGCGGGUUCAGGCGAAAUGUUGAAUGGGUCUCGCCCGGGCCUUUAUAUAUUCGGAAGAGGGACCGGUGGUGGUUCUUUACUCUGCUGCUCGCCUCCCGCUUAGGUUUCCGCGACCUGAGGGAAUAGCCAGAGAAAGAAAACCGCACACCUUGUCUGCUCUGCCACCACCUCCUUUGCUUGGUGAUGGCCGAAUGGGUAACCGUCGUUCCGCCGCGCGACCCGUGGCCUUUCUCCACCGUCACGGUGGACGAUCUAGAGGCCCUUGUUGCCGAUGGUUUGCUUUGUCCCCUCUUCGGUGACCCGUAGCCGGAGUGGAUGGCCCCUCCGAGCGGAGCCGCCCCGUCCCCGCCGUCGGGGUAUGUGCUGAGUUUCGUCUCUUUCCAUGAGCGGGGGUUCGGAGUGCCAGCAAGUCGCUUCAUGUGGGCGAUUCUGCAUUUCUACGGGGUGGAGCUGCACAAUCUCAGCCCCAACUCCAUCGCGCAAGCAGCCAUCUUCGCGGCGGUUUGCGAAGGGUUUUUGGGGAUUGACCCCCACUGGGAUCUGUGGACCCAUCUCUUCUCCGUGGAGCCUUUUGCCUUGACGACGGGAGAAAGGAGAGUUCGCAUGGCGGUGCGGGUCGGCGGCUGCAUCCUCUAGUUGAGGCAGGCGCGUGCGCAACAGUACAUCCACGCCAUCCUUGUGUCUUCGAACAAGGGGUGGCAGCGCUGGUGGUUUUACCUUCGGAACGACGAUGGGAGGCUCCCGUCGUUUUCUCAACGAGUGGUGACCGCCGCCAGCAGCAACUGGCGCUAUGGGGCCCCGCGCGACAGACAGAAGAAUCUCCAGCCUCUUCUGGAGGCCUUGCAGGAGUUGCGAGAUGGAGGGCUUACCGCCACGGGGGUGGUCGCCGCCAUCCAUCGCCGGAGGGUGCUCCCCUUGACGGAGCGGCGGCUGCUGCUUUCGGAGAUGACGCUGGGGGUCGGCUUGGAGGGUUCACAGAUGUCCUCGGUCCCCCUCCCCACCGAUGACCUCCACAAGCGGGUAGCCGGCACGGUAGGAAAGCUGGAUGCCGGUGCUCUUACCCAGCCCUCGAUGCGUCCCGAGCGCGGGUGCAUAUCCCUGGUGAGUGUCCGCUCCUUCUUCCUUCUUGUGUCAGAUUGCCCUUGGUUCUCACAGCCGAGAUUUCCGUCCGUCUCCAAGAGUUGGGGUUUCAUAAACCUUUUCUGCCACCGGUCCCGGAGGACGCGGUGGACCGAGCCGCGCAGAGGGUUGCUGCGAAAAAGAAGAAGGAGAAGAAGGACGCAAAAAAGGCUCGGGCCCGCGAGCGGAUGCGGGCUUGGGACGCCUUGGAGAGGCGUCGUCGGAAGUAGGAGAGGGACGGGCUCCCGAGGGAGCCGUUGCCGGAGACGCCUGACGACGACGACGACGAUGACGAUGACGACGAGGACGACGACAUGGCGGCCCGCCUCGGCCUUAGCCCAGAUCUGCGGCUAGGCCCGGGGUCGUCGAGCCAGCCCCCGAGUGGGCUGGCGCCGUCAUUAUCCAGGGCGGAGGCAUCAGGGUCCCGGUCCGAAGAACAGGGGCAGACCAAGGGGGCACUUGACCCCUUGGCCAAGGUGGUUGAGGUGACCCCGGGGAGUUAGGCCGACCCGCCUGUCCCUGAAGAGCCGUUGCUCGUGCCGGCAGCACAGGAGGCUGAUCCUCAGGUCGCCGUGUCUGCGCCUGGGCGGACCGUCCCUUCGGCGCCCCGGGCGCCCGAGGCAGGGAUGGUGCCGAAGCCGGCAGCGGGGCAAACCUUGGUGGUGCCCACGGGGACCGAGGCUCGGGGGGCCUCCCCGCAGGCACGAUUGGUCGUGGCCCAGAGUGGGUGAGUAUCUGAGGAUACCUCUGUCCCGGUUCCUUCUUCGUAUGUCCUGAUCCUGCCUUUCCUUUUUCCUCCUAGCAAAUGGAGGCACGGCUCGACCGGUCUGGCUCCCCGGAAGGUCCUCAAGACGGCGUCGGCUUCCGCAGCCAGUGCCGCAUCGGGCCUCGCCGACCGGCUGACCUCCUCACAAGAUGCCCCAAAGCGGGGGGCUCAGGCGGUGCGAGUCGCCGUAGGGCGGGCUCCUCAGGUUGACCCCUCUUCUGAGGCGGCCGUCGUGCCGGGGGAGACUACUGGUGCGGCCGCGGCCUUCACACCACCCGACGUGUUGCCGACGCCGGCACCAGCCUCGGCCGAGGCUAUUGCCGUUCUGCCCGUGGGGCCAUCCGUCGCCGCUGAUGCUGAGAUGGCUGAGGCGUUGCUACCCGAGGCUGGUGAUCGGAGGCCUGCCCCCUUAGUCGAGGAGGUACUUGAUGUGCCAACCGCAGGGGGUGCCGACGCCUUGGAGGAGGGGGCACAGAACCACGGCCCGUCCUGGGGAGCGGUGACCUCAUCCUCGUGUGGCGAGGUCCCAAUGAAUGGCGUGGGGAGAGGCUCCGGUUCUGGACCCGUGGUGCCUCGAAACCCCUCUUUGUUCUUGACGAUGAGUGAGAGGAGCAGGCUUGGGACGAGCUUCGUGAGUGUGCCGAGGCAACGGUGGGGUCGCUUCGGUCGAUCUUGGAGGUCCUUUCUAGGGACGUUCCCAGGAUCCUCCAGGUAAGGAUUCCAGGCAUACCUUUCAUGUGAUCAAGGCAUUCUUUGUGACGCCCUGCUUCCCUUCCUCAGGAUCUGAGCACCGCCAAGUCGUCGUUUAUCCGCCGCGAGGCCGACGUCUGGGGUUCGCUGCGGUUCCUGAGGACCACGCUUGCCGAGGCCACUGAGCGCCUCUCCCAACGGAGCGCCGAGGCGACGGACCUUCGGUUGCUCUGUGACGAGCUAGGGGCAGAGGCAGCGGCGGCGCGCGUAGAGGCGCAGCGGCGGCAGUUGGAGCUUGGCCAGGUCAUCGGUGAGCGGGACCGAUCUCGGGGCCGGGCCGCCGAGGCUGAAAGCCGUGCUGAGGCCCUUGGAGGCCAGCUAGCUGAGGCGUCUGCUUGGGCCGGAGCCCUUGCGGUGGACCUGGCCGUGGCCGUUGGGUCUGCUCAGUCCACCCAAGCCGCAGCCUCGGAGCAGCGUGCCCGGGCCGAAGGUAUGUCUUGGCUGUUUUGAGAUUUUGAUUCAGCUUCAUUCUUCAACUCGUGUUUGAAGACUUUGCUUUGGUUGUUUGCAGAGCUUGAGUCUGCCCUCAACGAGUCCGCCAAGGCACUUGCCCAGGCGGCUGAGCAGAAGGAGGCCGACCGCGUGUGUAAUGCCCGAAUUUCGAGUUGAAUUUUUUCUUUUCUCUAUCGCUCGCUAAAUUCGGGUGUUACCCCUCCUUCCCAUUUCUUUUCGCUAAAACCUCACCCGUCUUCAAAACUUUAAGUCAUGUGAUAAUGGUAAACCCUAGAGUUAAUUUCUUUGAUUUGCUGCACCAUGCCAAACCAUGCAUUUUUUGAUUGUUGAAAAUGUGAAAAAGGGAAAAUAGAUAUCAAAAAAGGGAAAAUCUUUUCUUUUCUCUCCCCUCCAUCUCCUCCCCUUUUUGGCCCAUCCGCCCCCCUGGGCGCGUGGCCCAGCUGGCCGGCCGGCCCAACCGACCACGCCCCCUCUCCCUUCCCCCCCCCCCUUCGCGUCGUGGGCCGGCGGUGUGGUGUACUGUUUGUUUCCUAAUUUUUUCUAUUCUAUGCAUGUUUAAUCUACUUGUUCUCAUGUAUGGUGUACUGUUUGUUUCCUAAUUUGAAUGGAUGGAUGUAUGUAUGUCUGCACUUGCAUAGAGAACGAUCCGGUUGAAGAGCCCGAAGAACUCGCAGGAGAAGCCCCUGAGCAGCAGUCGGUUGGUG
Molecule: long non-coding RNA, 7316 nt
Filed under: Zea mays
Lineage: Eukaryota; Viridiplantae; Streptophyta; Magnoliopsida; Poales; Poaceae
Description: long non-coding RNA (ZMAY_LNC000519)
Source: RNAcentral